ACUUUCACGUCCACAUGGAAAACCUGCAGCGGCCUGUCCACGAUUACCUCCAGGUGGAUGCUGCACUCCGCGCUCCGCUCGCACAGUUCCUCGCGGUCUAUCCGAGAAUUCACAAACAAAAUGCCAUUCUGCAGAUUUACCUCCAGAAGGUCCCCGUGUGUUUUGGACGCCACCCGGAACAGGCGCGGCACCAGCUCCACCACCUCCAGCCCCAGGUCCUGCGCGAUGCGGCCUACGAAGGUGCCGUGCUUGGCCUCCUCAGAGACUGAGUAGUGGAGCUGGCCGCUCCCCACCUCCCAGGCUGCAAGGAGCAGAAGAGAAAGCAGCAGGCACUGGGCUCCAGGAUCUUCUCGCCAGGAGAACAACAUUAGAGGAUGAAGCAAAGCAGUAUCUGAAUACGUAAUGCACGCUGUAUUUCUUUUGUGGAGAAAGACCUUGUGGUGGACAGCGACAUCAUGUGGCUAAACGUUUCCAUUCAAGACAAAACUGCCAUUAAUAGGAUAUCUACAUUC
RNAcentral lists this non-coding RNA (512 nucleotides) under Pongo abelii (Sumatran orangutan). Lineage: Eukaryota; Metazoa; Chordata; Mammalia; Primates; Hominidae. The record is from RNAcentral.